RNAcentral lists this ribosomal RNA (468 nucleotides) under uncultured bacterium. RNAcentral's name for it is "partial 16S ribosomal RNA". It matches the Rfam family "Bacterial small subunit ribosomal RNA", at positions 28 to 507 of the family's 1533-position model. The record is from RNAcentral.
GACGAACGCUGGCGGCGUGCUUAACACAUGCAAGUCGAACGGAAAGGCCCUGCUUUUGUGGGGUGCUCGAGUGGCGAACGGGUGAGUAACACGUGAGUAACCUCCCCUUGAUUUUGGGAUAACUUCAGAAAACUGGGGCUAAUACCGGAUAGGACCUCCUGCUGCAUGGGGGGGGUUGGAAAUUUUCGGCGGUUGGGGAUGGACUCGCGGCUUAUCAGCUUGUUGGUGGGGUAGUGGCUUACCAAGGCUUUGACGGGUAGCCGGCCUGAGAGGGUGACCGGCCACAUUGGGACUGAGAUACGGCCCAGACUCCUACGGGAGGCAGCAGUGGGGAAUAUUGCACAAUGGGCGGAAGCCUGAUGCAGCAACGCCGCGUGCGGGAUGACGGCCUUCGGGUUGUAAACCGCUUUCGCCUGUGACGAAGCGUGAGUGACGGUAAUGGGUAAAGAAGCACCGGCUAACUACGUG